RNAcentral lists this ribosomal RNA (458 nucleotides) under uncultured bacterium. Its description in RNAcentral is "partial 16S ribosomal RNA". It matches the Rfam family "Bacterial small subunit ribosomal RNA", at positions 338 to 795 of the family's 1533-position model. The record is from RNAcentral.
CCUACGGGAGGCAGCAGUGAGGAAUAUUGGUCAAUGGGCGAGAGCCUGAACCAGCCAAGUCGCGUGAGGGAGUACUGCCCUAUGGGUUGUAAACCUCUUUUGUCGGGGAGCAAAAGCCGGACGUGUCCGGCUGUGAGAGUACCCGAAGAAAAGGCAUCGGCUAACUCGGUGCCAGCAGCCGCGGUAGUACGAAGGAUGCGUGCGUUAUCGGGAUUUAUUGGGUUUAAGGGGUGCGCAGGGGGAAUUUUAAGUCAGCGGUCAAGUCGUGGGGCUCAACCCAAUCCAGCCGUUGAAACUGGGGAUCUAGAGUGUGCGAGAGGUAUGCGGAAUGCGUGGUGUAGCGGUGAAAUGCGUAGAUAUCACGCAGAACCCCGAUGGCGAAGGCAGCAUACCGGUGCACAACUGACGCUCAGGCACGAAAGCGUGGGUAGCGAACAGGAUUAGAUACCCUAGUAGUC